Molecule: long non-coding RNA, 284 nt
Filed under: Monodelphis domestica (gray short-tailed opossum)
Lineage: Eukaryota; Metazoa; Chordata; Mammalia; Didelphimorphia; Didelphidae
Description: lncRNA (ENSMODG00000043660.1)
Source: RNAcentral
GUUUUGGGUCCUGGGGAAAUUUUAAAUUCUGACUUUCUGUCAUCCUACAAGGAAGAAAUGACUACCUUAUUAUACCACCAUCAAAGAGAUUAGAUUUAAGUGAGAGAGUCUCCUGGGGCACGAACACUCAUAUUAGGAGUGCACCGUACCUAUCUCUCUUUACUGAAGUUGAAAGAAAGCCACCUGGUCCUCAGAAAAGGGCACUGGAGCAUGGAGGGCAUGGUGAUUUGACUGGCAGAGAAAAAUGCCCAGAUUCAUAUGAUAUUUUAAACAUUUCCUGUUGA